AGAGGAAUAGCUGGGUCAAAUGGUGGUUCCAUUCCCAGAUUUCCAAGGAAUCUCCAUAUUGCUUUCCAAAUCGGCCGCACCAUUUUGCAGUCCCACCAGCAAU
Molecule: microRNA precursor, 103 nt
Filed under: Marmota monax (woodchuck)
Lineage: Eukaryota; Metazoa; Chordata; Mammalia; Rodentia; Sciuridae
Source: RNAcentral